This 506-nucleotide ribosomal RNA is filed under the name uncultured bacterium. RNAcentral's name for it is "partial 16S ribosomal RNA". It matches the Rfam family "Bacterial small subunit ribosomal RNA", at positions 28 to 507 of the family's 1533-position model. The record is from RNAcentral.
GACGAACGCUGGCGGCGUGCUUAACACAUGCAAGUCGAACGGUGAAGGGACUGGUUUUGCUGGUCCUGGAUGAGUGGCGAACGGGUGAGUAACACGUGAGUAACCUGCCCCCUUCUUCUGGAUAACCGCAUGAAAGUGUGGCUAAUACGGGACAUUCUGGGUCUGUCGCAUGGUGGGCCUGGGAAAGAUUGCGCCUUUUUUGGUGUUUUUGGUGGGGGAUGGGCUCGCGGCCUAUCAGCUUGUUGGUGGGGUGAUGGCCUACCAAGGCGGUGACGGGUAGCCGGCCUGAGAGGGUGGACGGUCACACUGGGACUGAGACACGGCCCAGACUCCUACGGGAGGCAGCAGUGGGGAAUAUUGCACAAUGGGCGCAAGCCUGAUGCAGCGACGCCGCGUGAGGGAUGGAGGCCUUCGGGUUGUGAACCUCUUUCGCCAGUGAAGCAGGCCUGCCUCUUUUUGUGGGUGGGUUGACGGUAGCUGGAUAAGAAGCGCCGGCUAACUACGUG